GGUCCUAUGGUGUAGCGGUUAGCAUUCUGGCCUAAUACAACAAUACUUUGGUGUUGCGAAUAUAAAGCUAGCGAGCCUGGUUCAAUUCCAGGUAGGACCA
Molecule: non-coding RNA, 100 nt
Organism: Cladophialophora chaetospira
Lineage: Eukaryota; Fungi; Ascomycota; Eurotiomycetes; Chaetothyriales; Herpotrichiellaceae
Source: the annotation of a GenBank genome assembly